UGGGGAAUAUUGCACAAUGGGCGAAAGCCUGAUGCAGCGACGCCGCGUGAGGGAUGACGGCCUUCGGGUUGUAAACCUCUUUCAGCAGGGACGAAGCGCAAGUGACGGUACCUGCAGAAGAAGCACCGGCUAACUACGUGCCAGCAGCCGCGGUAAUACGUAGGGUGCAAGCGUUGUCCGGAAUUACUGGGCGUAAAGAGUUCGUAGGCGGUUUGUCGCGUCGUUUGUGAAAACCAGCAGCUCAACUGCUGGCUUGCAGGCGAUACGGGCAGACUUGAGUACUGCAGGGGAGACUGGAAUUCCUGGUGUAGCGGUGAAAUGCGCAGAUAUGAGGAGGAACACCGGUGGCGAAGGCGGGUCUCUGGGCAGUAACUGACGCUGAGGAACGAAAGCGUGGGUAGCGAACAGG
This 409-nucleotide ribosomal RNA is filed under the name Bacillota bacterium. Its description in RNAcentral is "Firmicutes bacterium partial 16S ribosomal RNA". It matches the Rfam family "Bacterial small subunit ribosomal RNA", at positions 355 to 776 of the family's 1533-position model. The record is from RNAcentral. Lineage: Bacteria; Bacillati; Bacillota.